CCUACGGGUGGCUGCAGUGGGGAAUAUUGCACAAUGGGGGAAACCCUGAUGCAGCAACGCCGCGUGAGUGAGGAAGUAUUUAGGUAUGUAAAGCUCUAUCAGCAGGGAAUAGAAAAGAAGGUACCUGAAAAAGAAGCACCGGCUAACUACGUGCCAGCAGCCGCGGUACUAGGUAGGGGGCGAGCGUUAUCCGGAUUUACUGGGGUUAAAGGGAGCGUAGACGGAAAGGCAAGUGAGAAGUGAAAACCCAAGGCUCAACCAUGGGACUGCUGCUGAAACUGUCAAACUAGAGUACGGGGGAGGUAAGAGGAAUUCGUGGUGUAGCGGUGAAAUGCUUAGAUAUUAGGAAGAACACCAGUGGCGAAGGCGGCUUUCUGGACUGGAACUGACGCUGAGGCACGAAAGCGUGGGGAGCGAACAGGAUUAGAUACCCCGGUAGUC
This 441-nucleotide ribosomal RNA is filed under the name uncultured bacterium. RNAcentral describes it as "partial 16S ribosomal RNA". It matches the Rfam family "Bacterial small subunit ribosomal RNA", at positions 338 to 795 of the family's 1533-position model. The record is from RNAcentral.